CUCGGGUUACCGAAUUCAGACAAACUCCGAAUGCCAAUUAAUUUAACUUGGGAGUCAGAACAUGGGUGAUAAGGUCCGUGUUCGAAAGGGAAACAGCCCAGACCACCAGCUAAGGUCCCAAAAUAUAUGUUAAGUGGAAAAGGAUGUGGCGUUGCCCAGACAACUAGGAUGUUGGCUUAGAAGCAGCCAUCAUUUAAAGAGUGCGUAAUAGCUCACUAGUCGAGUGACACUGCGCCGAAAAUGUACCGGGGCUAAACAUAUUACCGAAGCUGUGGAUUGUCCUUUGGACAAUGGUAGGAGAGCGUUCUAAGGGCGUUGAAGCAUGAUCGUAAGGACAUGUGGAGCGCUUAGAAGUGAGAAUGCCGGUGUGAGUAGCGAAAGACGGGUGAGAAUCCCGUCCACCGAUUGACUAAGGUUUCCAGAGGAAGGCUCGUCCGCUCUGGGUUAGUCGGGUCCUAAGCUGAGGCCGACAGGCGUAGGCGAUGGAUAACAGGUUGAUAUUCCUGUACCACCUAUAAUCGUUUUAAUCGAUGGGGGGACGCAGUAGGAUAGGCGAAGCGUGCGAUUGGAUUGCACGUCUAAGCAGUAAGGCUGAGUAUUAGGCAAAUCCGGUACUCGUUAAGGCUGAGC
RNAcentral lists this ribosomal RNA (630 nucleotides) under Staphylococcus aureus. RNAcentral's name for it is "partial 23S ribosomal RNA". It matches the Rfam family "Bacterial large subunit ribosomal RNA", at positions 930 to 1561 of the family's 2925-position model. The record is from RNAcentral. Lineage: Bacteria; Bacillati; Bacillota; Bacilli; Caryophanales; Staphylococcaceae.